Molecule: long non-coding RNA, 1179 nt
Filed under: Anser cygnoides (Swan goose)
Lineage: Eukaryota; Metazoa; Chordata; Aves; Anseriformes; Anatidae
Description: lncRNA (ENSACDG00005018564.1)
Source: RNAcentral
UGAAGGAGAAGAUUGAGGAAAUACACUCUGGUCCCUGCUCCCUGCUCCUGGCCUGGUUGUUGCUGCCACCUCUCUUGGACGCUGGCCCGUCCCAGCCAGGUACACCACACUCUGGAGUGGACAGACACCAUGAGGGUGAUGGACUGAACAACAUCUUCAUCUUCCAGCUCCUUUAGCCUGUCAUUUUGCCUCUGCUAGAUACUGCAGAACUUUGAUGAGCAGCAAAUGGCAGCUGCAAAAUAAGAAAGAAGCAGUGAACUUCAUUACCAGCAGUUUUGGGGGGCAGAAAUCAGAAACAGUGCCCAAGAAUGACAGCUGAUGACAGCUCGGUCGCUUUUGCUUGGCUGGGGCUCAUCAAAGAGGAAGACACUUGGCUGGGACCCCACACAGGAGCUUCAACCCUGCUUCGUGAGAAGCCACGCAGCGCGUACAUCUACAUUGCAAGGGAAUUCCCUCGGCUUUUGAUAAAUGCUUUGAACUCCCAGCUGUUCUUAGGGAGAGAAGAAACAUCAAAGACAUGUCUGCAAAGGCUGUUUAUGUACCUGAGAGGAGCAGAGCUCCAUUCUUCUCCCAGGGUACAUCAUGAGGCUGUGAGCCAAGUGCACCCAAGCACCUUCAGCCACUACAACGUGAAUUUUCAUAUUAAGAAGGCGGUGUUGUUUCUGGGAUUGCACAGAGCUACAGAGCAGGUCUUCAACCCCAGUCCCUGCUGGACAUCUGAAUAACAACCCCAGUAAACAGCUUUCCUGAGCAUGCCCUGCUCGUUGAGAGGUCUACGUGUACAAAUUGGGGUGGGUUUUGGUGAGUGACCUGCAUGCAGAAGUCAUGGCCUUGGUUAAAGAAGACCGCAAGAGAAAGAUGGGAACCACCUGGGUCACCUGGCUGUUGUGGCUUCUCUGGGGAACCCAGGAGAAUUUUCUGUUUCCCGUGAUGGACUGGCCUUUUUAUCAGAUUUACGGAAGAUGUGAAGCACUAUUCCUUUUAUCACUGAACUUGAAAGCCCCACAACUCUGCCCCUGUUGUCUCAGAUGCAUGCAGGACCUCUGCUAGGUCCUUCCACAGACACUUGAAUGUAUAAAUAUUAAUAUUUUGAAAUGCCACACAACAACCUUAAAUUGCUGAGAAAGACAACCAAAGGAUGGCUCUGAGUUUGGGGCAAUACCUACGGGUGAAAAUAAC